UUUUAAAAAUAUUAUUUUUAAUUUUAAAUUAAAUUGAAUUAAAAAAAAUAAUUAUUUUUUAGUAAAAAUAUGAAAAAAUUAGGUUAAUUAUAGAUUAUUAGUAUUGAGAAAGAAUUAUUUUUAAAAUUUUAAAAGAAGAAAUAAUUUUGUACCUUGUGUAUCAGGGUUUAUUAAAUUAAAUUAAAAUUGUAUUUUCUCGAAUUUAAAAGAGUUAAGAUAAUAUAAUUUUAUUGUAGAAUAAAUAUUUAAAAUAUUAUUUUUGAAAUGAAACGUUAUACGUUUUUAAUAUAUCUAGUUAUUUAAGAAAAAAAUUAAAUUUUAUUAUUAUUAAUAUAUAAUUAAUUUUGUAAUGAUAUAUUAUUAAUAUUUAAUUUAUAAAGGGAUAAGCUUUUAUAAAAAUUAUUAAAAUUUUAUAUUUUUAGAAAAAAUUAUAGGAUUAGUAGUUUCUAUUAUUAGAAUAAUGUUAUAGUUGAUUUUAUUAAAUUAUUAUUUAUAUAAAUUUUAAAUAGUUUAUUAAGUUAAAAAUUAUAAUUUAAUUAAGUUUUGAAAUAAUGAUAAAAUUAGUAAAAUAUUAUAUAUAAAUAGAUAAAAAGAUAAAGGUUAAAUAAAGGAAUUCGGCAAAAGAUUUUUCACCUGUUUAUUAAAAACAUGGCUUUUUGAUAAUAAUUUAAGGUCUGACCUGCCCACUGAGGAAUUUAAAGGCCGCGGUAAAUUGACCGUGCUAAGGUAGCAUAAUCAUUAGUUUUUUAAAUGGAAGCUGGAAUGAAUGGUUGGAUGAAAAAAUGACUGUCUCUAUUUAAUUUUAAAUGAAUUUUAUUUUUAAGUAAAAAAGCUUAUAUUUAUUUAAAAGACGAGAAGACCCUAUAGAGUUUUAUAAAAUUUAAAUUUUGUAUUUUUAGGAUUAUUAUUUUAUAAUUUAAAUUUUAUUUGAUUGGGGCGAUUGAAAAAUUUAAUUAACUUUUUUUAUAAAUUUUACAUAAAUAAAUGAGAAAUUGAUCCAUAA
Molecule: ribosomal RNA, 1003 nt
Filed under: Anoplophora chinensis
Lineage: Eukaryota; Metazoa; Arthropoda; Insecta; Coleoptera; Cerambycidae
Description: partial 16S ribosomal RNA
Source: RNAcentral